AAUUCUCUGAAGACGCUUCGUACACUGCGCUCAUUAAAGCAAUCAGCUGAUAAACAGCCGGUAAAUCUGGAAGUCUACUACGUAUACAGUUUCGAACGCCUUCAAAUUGGUUGACGAAGCCAAAUUUACCUUCAAUGUUAAAUCUUCCGUACGGCAAAUUGUUGCACACCGACGCUGCAUGCUAAUUCUACCGCUGGCAUACAAGCAUCAGCGAACCAACCCCCAUCGAAGCCAUAGCCACAGCAAUAGAACCGGACCAAAAAACCUACAACACACACACACCCAUACAAUAAGAAUGGACAGCAACCACCCAUCUUCCCUGCACAACCGAGCAUGCCCGGGAUAUGGCAAAUAACUAGGAGGAAAUGCCUAGUUAAUUUUGUUAAUUGUUUUUUUUUUGCGUGAAUAUAAUUCACAGUCACCACAUGCGGUGGUGACAAUACGGCAUCGGGCCGUAAUACUCAAUAAAUAAAUAAUACAAGCAUCAUCCGCCGUCUUCGCGGCUUGUUCCGGAAUAUAUAAUAGAUAAUUUUCUUUCGUAAUACCUAGCCUAAUCACUAUUCCUACCAGCAAAGGCUAAUCGGCAUCGCAGCGUUUACCGUUCGUAAGAAACAACCCUGUUUUUCAGUAAUUUGAUAUAGAUUACUAUAAACGCUAGAACGCAUACUACAGUGCAUCCGAUUCCCGGCGUCCAACUAUCCAUCUGGUCUUGACUUCAUGUUCCACGGGUGUCCUCGUACCAGAACCAUAGCAGUGUGUGUUGGGAUGGAAAAUAUUGGGGAGGACAGCUAGCUCUGAGCGUUGGACAGAAGCUCACGACAGGCAGACGAAUCGAGAUCUUCCACCGGGUGCGCCUCUUCCGCCGGCACCGGUACCGAAACAUCCUCGUUCACCGUGACGGCUGGGGUUGGGAAGUUCUUCGGCAGAGUACCGAACGCACCGCUGAACGACGGAACAUCGAUCUGUCGGAUGUUGGCACUGUCCUACAACACCUUGUUCGCCACCGCCAGUGUGAAGACCAUCGCGUCGAUGUAGCAUCGAUGCUCGUACACCGUAACGGACCGCUAGAUGCGAAAAUCUUUUUGACGAAACCUUUGUUCUCGCUAAUGAGGAAAUGCAAAGUGAUGUCGACCGGGCAGAGGUUUAUGAUGAGCAAUGCCAUUAUACACCAUCAACAGCUGGAAACUGCAGCUCGAUGUGGCAAAACAUUCUUCCGACGUAGCAGCAGUGUUUCAGGUAUGUAUGAGCAGACAUCGCGCGAUAUUUUUUGGUGCGUUUUCUAUUGUAGUGUAGUGCAUAAAAUGGAAAACGCUAACGCUGCUGUACCUCGAUACGUAUCUGCUCGGUAAGGCGUUCCAACUGUCGAUCAAGUACGAGUAUCUGCGCACCGGUGGCAACACGAUCAGGACAUUCUUAAUAAAUAAACAAAUAAAACAUUUUUUAUUGUUCGCUAUAUAAAGUUUAUAAAGCAAGCAAUUCGAUCAGGCUGUUCCUACCGAAUACAAACAGUUUAUAGGCAUUAUAGAAAUGAAUAGGUUUAUUCAACAUAUUUCAUUUCUUUCCCUAUUGAAUUCCAUACAUUCACAUGUACUUUGUGCCUAUUUUCGGAAUCCAUUAAAACGAAAAGUAAAUUGUUUAUCGGAUUUUUUUAACCUCAAUGAGUCAUCAAUUAUUUUUCAAAUAAUUUUAUUGCUCAAAAACUCCAAUUUCUUAAGCGCUUUUUUGUUUUAUCGUGAAACCUGCCGAACCAUUCACAUUAAGAAUGUGAAGUACUGAACUAAGCUGUGUGUACAGCCGAGCUGUCUUCCUGUUCAAUUAUUCGUGCCAAGCUUGGUUUGAGCUGUCAUCAAAGAAAAACCAUGUGGUAAACGAAAACAAUACCGUGACACCGUGAAUGCUAUUAUACAUUUUCUAAAGAGUUUUUUUUAUUGUGUUCAAGUGAAUAAAAUGUAGAGCGCUUACGUCGCUGUGCCUCGAUACCCCGGUUAUGCUGUGUGAGGACCGGUUCCGCUAUCGCCUCGCGUUCCACUGUUCGAAGGUGUUCCAGAUGUUGUUCUUUUGACGGGCUGGCUAUUAAAAUAACGUCUAUGUAAAUAAAAACGAAAUCAAAAUCA
Molecule: long non-coding RNA, 2114 nt
Organism: Anopheles stephensi (Asian malaria mosquito)
Lineage: Eukaryota; Metazoa; Arthropoda; Insecta; Diptera; Culicidae
Exons: 2
Source: RefSeq, a predicted model, not a curated record